Molecule: ribosomal RNA, 733 nt
Filed under: Kocuria sp. Fun-102
Lineage: Bacteria; Bacillati; Actinomycetota; Actinomycetes; Micrococcales; Micrococcaceae
Description: bacterial SSU rRNA
Rfam family: Bacterial small subunit ribosomal RNA
Source: RNAcentral
GCGGCGUGCNUAAACCUGCAAGUCCAACGCUGAAGCUUGGUGCUUGCACUGGGUGGAUGAGUGGCGAACGGGUGAGUAAUACGUGAGUAACCUGCCCUUGACUCUGGGAUAAGCCUGGGAAACUGGGUCUAAUACUGGAUAUGACCUCCUGUCGCAUGGUGGGGGGUGGAAAGGGUUUGUACUGGUUGUGGAUGGGCUCACGGCCUAUCAGCUUGUUGGUGGGGUAAUGGCCUACCAAGGCGACGACGGGUAGCCGGCCUGAGAGGGUGACCGGCCACACUGGGACUGAGACACGGCCCAGACUCCUACGGGAGGCAGCAGUGGGGAAUAUUGCACAAUGGGCGCAAGCCUGAUGCAGCGACGCCGCGUGAGGGAUGACGGCCUUCGGGUUGUAAACCUCUUUCAGCACGGAAGAAGCGAAAGUGACGGUACGUGCAGAAGAAGCGCCGGCUAACUACGUGCCAGCAGCCGCGGUAAUACGUAGGGCGCAAGCGUUGUCCGGAAUUAUUGGGCGUAAAGAGCUCGUAGGCGGUUUGUCGCGUCUGCUGUGAAAGCCCGGGGCUUAACCCCGGGUGUGCAGUGGGUACGGGCAGACUUGAGUGCAGUAGGGGAGACUGGAACUCCUGGUGUAGCGGUGAAAUGCGCAGAUAUCAGGAAGAACACCGAUGGCGAAGGCAGGUCUCUGGGCUGUUACUGACGCUGAGGAGCGAAAGCAUGGGGAGCGAACAGGAUU